RNAcentral lists this ribosomal RNA (260 nucleotides) under uncultured bacterium. RNAcentral describes it as "partial 16S ribosomal RNA". It matches the Rfam family "Bacterial small subunit ribosomal RNA", at positions 28 to 292 of the family's 1533-position model. The record is from RNAcentral.
GACGAACGCUGGCGGCGUGCUUAACACAUGCAAGUCGAGCGGUAAGGCCCUUCGGGUACGACGAGCGGCGAACGGGUGAGUAACACGUGGGUGACCUGCCUCUAGCUCUGGGAUAAGCCUGGGAAACUGGGUCUAAUACCGGAUAUGACUCCACGGCGCAUGUUGUGGGGUGGAAAGCCUUGUGUGGCUAGAGAUGGGCCCGCGGCCUAUCAGCUUGUUGGUGGGGUGAUGGCCACCAAGGCGACGACGGGUAGCCGGCC